AGAUGAGGUCCCCUGUAUCUUUGAUGUAACUUAUUUUUCAUUUAUCGCUGGUGUAGUUUGUCGCUUUCCUUUUUAACUUCCUUCCUUUUUCUUUUUCUUUUCUCGAGUGAGGGUUUUUCCUCUGCUCUUAGUGGGGUCGCGGGAGCGCGGAGGGGCCAUCGAGAAGGUUUUCUUUUUCUUAUCUGGUCUUGAAUGAUCGGAUCUUAGUUGGCAUCAGGAUGAGGUUCU
This 228-nucleotide long non-coding RNA is filed under the name Elaeis guineensis (African oil palm). RNAcentral's name for it is "long non-coding RNA (EGUI_LNC043181)". Lineage: Eukaryota; Viridiplantae; Streptophyta; Magnoliopsida; Arecales; Arecaceae. The record is from RNAcentral.